Molecule: ribosomal RNA, 253 nt
Filed under: uncultured bacterium
Lineage: Bacteria
Description: partial 16S ribosomal RNA
Rfam family: Bacterial small subunit ribosomal RNA
Source: RNAcentral
UACGGAGGGUGCAAGCGUUGUCCGGAAUCACUGGGCGUAAAGGGCGCGUAGGCGGCUCGGUAAGUCGGGGGUGAAAUCCUGCGGCUUAACCGCAGGGCUGCCUUCUAAACUGUCGAGCUCGAGCACGGUAGAGGCAGAUGGAAUUCCCGGUGUAGCGGUGGAAUGCGUAGAGAUCGGGAAGAACAUCAGUGGCGAAGGCGGUCUGCUGGGCCGUUGCUGACGCUGAGGCGCGACAGCGUGGGGAGCAAACAGG